Transfer RNA from Brassica oleracea var. oleracea, 72 nucleotides. It matches the Rfam family "tRNA". Rfam says of the family: Transfer RNA (tRNA) molecules are approximately 80 nucleotides in length. Their secondary structure includes four short double-helical elements and three loops (D, anti-codon, and T loops). The record is from Rfam. Lineage: Eukaryota; Viridiplantae; Streptophyta; Magnoliopsida; Brassicales; Brassicaceae.
GGGCAUUUGGUAUAGUGGUAAGAUUCUCGCUUUGGGUGCGAGAGGUCCCGAGUUCGAUUCUCAGAAUGCCUC